RNAcentral lists this ribosomal RNA (1934 nucleotides) under seawater metagenome. RNAcentral describes it as "bacterial LSU rRNA". It matches the Rfam family "Bacterial large subunit ribosomal RNA", at positions 1 to 1973 of the family's 2925-position model. The record is from RNAcentral.
UUCCGAUCUUAAGCGUAUACGGUGGAUGCCUUGGCAGUCAGAGGCGAUGAAGGACGUUGUAGCCUGCGAAAAGCUUCGGGGAGUCGGCAAACAGACUUUGAUCCGGAGAUGUCCGAAUGGGGAAACCCACCUGGUGUAAGCCAGGUACCUUGCACUGAAUACAUAGGUGUAAGGAGCGAACGAGGGGAACUGAAACAUCUAAGUACCCUUAGGAAAAGAAAUCAAUUGAGAUUCCCCCAGUAGCGGCGAGCGACCGGGGAGUAGCCUGCAAGUGAUAGCAGUUGGGUUAGUGGAACGGUCUGGAAAGUCCGGCGAUAGAGGGUGAUAGCCCCGUACACGAAAACCUGAUUGUGGUACUAAGCUUGCGACAAGUAGGUCGGGACACGAGUUAUCUUGACUGAACAUGGGGGGACCAUCCUCCAAGGCUAAAUACUACUGACUGACCGAUAGUGAACCAGUACCGUGAGGGAAAGGCGAAAAGAACCCCGGAGAGGGGAGUGAAAUAGAACCUGAAACCGUAUACGUACAAGCAGUGGGAGCAGACUUGUUCUGUGACUGCGUACCUUUUGUAUAAUGGGUCAGCGACUUAUUUUCAGUGGCAAGGUUAACCGUAUAGGGGAGCCGUAGGGAAACCGAGUCUUAAUAGGGCGUCUUAGUCGCAGGGAGUAGACCCGAAACCGGGCGAUCUAGCCAUGGGCAGGUUGAAGGUUGAGUAACAUCAACUGGAGGACCGAACUCACGUAUGUUGAAAAAUGCGGAGAUGACCUGUGGCUCGGAGUGAAAGGCUAAUCAAGCCCGGAGAUAGCUGGUUCUCCUCGAAAUCUAUUUAGGUAGAGCGUCGUGUCUUACCCUGGGGGGUAGAGCACUGUUUCGGCUAGGGGGUCAUCCCGACUUACCAACCCGAUGCAAACUCCGAAUACCAAUGAGUGCAAUCACGGGAGACACACGGCGGGUGCUAACGUCCGUCGUGGAAAGGGAAACAACCCAGACCGUCAGCUAAGGUCCCAAAGUUAUAGUUAAGUGGGAAACGAUGUGGGAAGGUUUAGACAGCUAGGAGGUUGGCUUAGAAGCAGCCAUCCUUUAAAGAAAGCGUAAUAGCUCACUAGUCGAGUCGGCCUGCGCGGAAGAUGUAACGGGGCUCAAACCAUACACCGAAGCUACGGGUAUCACGUAAGUGAUGCGGUAGAGGAGCGUUCUGUAAGCCUGUGAAGGUGAGUUGAGAAGCUUGCUGGAGGUAUCAGAAGUGCGAAUGCUGACAUGAGUAACGACAAUGGGUGUGAAAAACACCCACGCCGAAAGACCAAGGUUUCCUGCGCAACGUUAAUCGACGCAGGGUUAGUCGGUCCCUAAGGCGAGGCUGAAAAGCGUAGUCGAUGGAAAACAGGUUAAUAUUCCUGUACUUCUGGUUAUUGCGAUGGAGGGACGGAGAAGGCUAGGCCAGCUUGGCGUUGGUUGUCCAAGUUUAAGGUGGUAGGCUGGAAUCUUAGGUAAAUCCGGGAUUCUAAGGCCGAGAGCUGAUGACGAGUUAUCUUUUAGAUGACGAAGUGGUUGAUGCCAUGCUUCCAAGAAAAGCUUCUAAGCUUCAGGUAACCAGGAACCGUACCCCAAACCGACACAGGUGGUUGGGUAGAGAAUACCAAGGCGCUUGAGAGAACUCGGGUGAAGGAACUAGGCAAAAUGGCACCGUAACUUCGGGAGAAGGUGCGCCGGUGAGGGUGAAGGACUUGCUCCGUAAGCUCAUGCCGGUCGAAGAUACCAGGCCGCUGCGACUGUUUAUUAAAAACACAGCACUCUGCAAACACGAAAGUGGACGUAUAGGGUGUGACGCCUGCCCGGUGCUGGAAGAUUAAAUGAUGGGGUGCAAGCUCUUGAUUGAAGUCCCAGUAAACGGCGGCCGUAACUAUAACGGUCCUAAGGUAGCGAAAUUCCUUGUC